Molecule: ribosomal RNA, 253 nt
Filed under: uncultured bacterium
Lineage: Bacteria
Description: partial 16S ribosomal RNA
Rfam family: Bacterial small subunit ribosomal RNA
Source: RNAcentral
UACGUAGGGACCGAGCGUUGUCCGGAAUCAUUGGGCGUAAAGAGCGUGUAGGCGGCCACUUAAGUCCUGCGUGAAAUCUUGCGGCUCAACCGCAAGCGGUCGUGGGAAACUGGGUGGCUAGAGUGCGGGAGAGGAGAGUGGAAUUCCUGGUGUAGCGGUGGAAUGCGUAGAUAUCAGGAAGAACACCCGUGGCGAAGGCGGCUCUCUGGAACGCAACUGACGCUGAGACGCGAAAGCGUGGGGAGCAAACAGG